UCUCAUCUCUCUAUCACAUAUCUGAAGCACCAUCUCCCUCGCGCUCUCGUGGUCACCGAGCUCGCGUUGUCGAUGUCACAAGCUCGCCGAGCUCGCCAUUUCCCUCAUGUUACUACGCUUUCCAAAUUCGUGUGUCAGAGUUCUGUGGUAGGUGGCAUUCAAGGUUAGCCUCUUUACCCUCAGCCUCCUCACCUUCUCCCUCUCUUUCUCUCAUUUCUUUGAUUCCCAAAUAUCAGAAUCCCUAAUUUCUUCCACUAUUUCUUAAAUUCCCAAAUUAGACACAUAAAUUAGAGGAUCUAAAACACAAAUUUCGUCAUCUUCCUCUUUUCUAGGGUUUAUUUGGGUAAUAAUCUAUUUCUAGCGUUAUGUUCUACUUGUUUAGCUUUCUCCACCCUUUUAUCUGUAUCAAUGGGUUUGAUUAUUAUGUGGAUUUUGUUUUUGUUUUUUGCAAGUGUGGAUUUCAGUGUGCAUCUUCGUGUUCCCUCUCCGUCCUCUGUUUUUUUUUUUCUUAGUUUCCCUUAAAUAAUUACUUUGUGCUUGUUCAUUUGAGUGCUUCGUUUAAAUCAGUAUUCCAACAAGCAAUUGUUUUGGUUUCAUGAAUUUGAUUUUCUAAUUUCUUUGUGUUUGUGUUUGGGCUUGUACAUUUAUGUUAAUCCCUUUGAGAGAUGUUUGUCGUUUUUCUUUUAGAAGAUGAUUUGAUGCCCGUUGAGCGUUGCUUACUGGGAAAAUAGUGGAGUAGAACAACAAAAUCAGCUGGGAAAUUUGGCGUUUUGUUAUUCGCUCAACAGUCAAAAUUGAAGGGAUUUGUAGGAUGUAAGAUUGAGAAAGAGACUUUAAAGCAUAAUCUUUAACACCGAGGAAUUAAUGGAUUGUUGAAGGUGUUGCUUAAAGUUCAGUGUGGUUGUUUCUUACCUAGUUAUAAAAAUCAAGUAUUUCUUAUUGGUGAUAUAAAGAUGGAAGCAGAGAGUCAAAUGAGGGAGGUAAAAUAUGCUGCUGAUAUUUGCUGUAUCAAGUAAUUUCUAAACUACAAUACCUUGACCUUUGGGGGAGUAAAAUAUCUGACCAAGGUACAAUUCCUUGACCUUUGUUGUUAAAGUUAGCAUCUGGGUUCAAUAUUUUGCUUUGAAUGAGGCUUUUGUGUUGUUUGGUUUAAUUUGAUAAUUGCUAGGUUAUAUAUAUAUAUAUGUUUGGUUCUAUUUGAGUGGGUUAAAUUUGGUUCUAAUGCAGAGCAAAUCCUCUGUUUUAUUACUUUUCAGUUUUAUCUCUCCUUUCAUUUUAUUUUGUGCUUGCUCAUUUCAAUUCUAGCGUUAAUCACCCAGGCUAUAUCUUCUAAACUUCGUUUUCUUUUCUCACAUGGUUAUCAAGUUUGGCUUAAUCACCCAGGUUGUUUGUUCUGACAGAUAAGUUUGCAUUAAUUUUAUGGUGUUAUACAAUUACAGGUAGUUGCUGGAUUCGCAGCAGAUGGAAGGCAAAUUGUUGGCAGGACCAAGUCUGAAGCUAACUAUGAAAGCCUACAUGAUAGUGUAUACAUCAUUAACUUUCUCUUCGAAUCUCUCUCUGUAAAGCAGGUAGUACUGGAUUAGUCCUCAAGCUGCUGUCAUUCUAAAGCUGCAUAGAUCUUAUUUCGACACCACCAACUUGAAAAAUGUGCAAGAAGGCAAAGCUAAGUCAACCCAAUAACAAAUUGAUGAAGUUAAGAUCAAAUUAGUAGAAUUUGUGAGCUCAAUUAUAUCUAAUUAUAGGUAGGAAGUAUGUAUGUAAUAG
Prunus avium (sweet cherry) is the source of this 1764-nucleotide long non-coding RNA. RefSeq lists it as uncharacterized. The record is from RefSeq and is a predicted model, not a curated record. NCBI's taxonomy places the organism in Eukaryota, Viridiplantae, Streptophyta, Magnoliopsida, Rosales, Rosaceae.